RNAcentral lists this ribosomal RNA (521 nucleotides) under Carabus famini numidus. RNAcentral's name for it is "partial 16S ribosomal RNA". It matches the Rfam family "Bacterial large subunit ribosomal RNA", at positions 1829 to 2599 of the family's 2925-position model. Lineage: Eukaryota; Metazoa; Arthropoda; Insecta; Coleoptera; Carabidae. The record is from RNAcentral.
GUCCUUUUGGAUUUUUAUUUAAGGUCUAGUCCGCCCACUGAAUUUAUAUUUUAAAUGGCCGCAGUAUUUUGACUGUGCAAAGGUAGCAYAAUCAUUAGUUUUUUAAUUAAAAGCUUGUAUGAAAGGCUGGACGAGGUAAAAUCUGUCUCUAUUUAAAUUAUUAUAGAAUUUAACUUUUAAGUUAAAAGGCUUAAAUAUUAUUAAAAGACGAGAMGACCCUAUAGAUCUUUAUAAUUUAUUAAAUUAAAUUAAUUUAGAAAUAUUAAUGUUUUAUUUAAUUAAAUUAUUUUAUUGGGGUAAUAGAAAGAUUGAAUUAAUUCUUUUUUUUAAUAAACAUUUAUUUAUGAAUAUUAAUGAUCCAGUUUUACUGAUUAUAAGAUUAAGUUACCUUAGGGAUAACAGCGUAAUUUUUUUAGAGAGUUCAUAUCGAUAAAAAAGUUUGCGACCUCGAUGUUGGAUUAAAGAUUAUUUUAGGUGCAGAAGCUUAAUAAUUUUGGUCUGUUCGACCAUUGAAUCUUUAC